AUGUCGCAGGUUGUACAAUCGACAAAGUUUGACUUUAGACUUGCGAAUCACCUUGAUGAUGAGUUGCAAAAACUAAGAUGCCGUGUUAAUUUUCAUGCUUUGAGAUUUACAAAACCUAUACAAGAACUUGGUCAAACAACUGUUACUAGAAUGCAGAAGAUGUCACGUCGGUUCAUAGCAGUCCAUUUGAGGUUUGAACCAGAUAUGCUAGCAUUUUCAAGUUGUUAUUUUGGUGGGGGAGAUAAAGAAAGAAAUGAGCUUGGUGAAAUCAGAAAAAGGUGGACAACAUUACCUGUAAGACUACAAUCCAUUGACCUCUAA
Molecule: non-coding RNA, 321 nt
Organism: Vicia faba (fava bean)
Lineage: Eukaryota; Viridiplantae; Streptophyta; Magnoliopsida; Fabales; Fabaceae
Source: the annotation of a GenBank genome assembly